Molecule: transfer RNA, 71 nt
Filed under: Pseudomonadota bacterium
Lineage: Bacteria; Pseudomonadati; Pseudomonadota
Also listed under: 1 other name
Description: tRNA-Gly
Rfam family: tRNA
About the family: Transfer RNA (tRNA) molecules are approximately 80 nucleotides in length. Their secondary structure includes four short double-helical elements and three loops (D, anti-codon, and T loops).
Source: RNAcentral
GCGGGAUUAGUUCACUGGUAGAAUGGCUCCUUCCCAAGGAGCAGAAGCGGGUUCGAUUCCCGUAUCCCGCU